UUUCCACCUAAUUUACAUAUUAGAUGUGCAUGACCACCGUUAGAUACUUAGAUGGUCUUAUCUAUGAUCGCUUGAAAAACCCUAAACUAAGCCGCCUCAAAAUUCCUUACCCUUGCGCCUCAACUUCACUUCUCCCUCCCCAACAAAUUCGAUGAUCCAAUUCUCUACUUAUUAGUCCUCUUUUCACAUCGCAGUAGAAGAUAUGGGUUCAUCCGCUGAAUCUUCAAACUCGAAGGGAACGAAGAGAGAAUUUAGUACACCUAUCAAUUUUGGAUUGUAAGAAAGUUGCAAGUCAAUAUGUUGUGGGUGAGCCGAUGAACGGUGAUGACUUUGUUGCACCCACAAUCCCCGGGACCAUGGAAAAGUUACAGAUCUUUCGUGGUACGGUGGUGGUACCAUCCUUAUCAGGGGAUGCAUAAUUUACUCCUAGGACAUACUCAAGGGAGAAGCAUGGAUUGUUAUGUACAAUGCAAACAUCGAGAAAUCUUAUCAGCUUCGAUUAGCUGAGCUGUUAAAUAUCUAGCACAUCCCAGGUCAAUUUUGAAGUAACUAUGCUGAUUGUGGUAUAAUUAUGUUUGGCAUUACUUCCUGUGUGGUGCACGAUAAUGUCUCGAUGGCACAGAAUUAUCCGCAGGUUUGUUUCAUCUAUGAUUAACGUUGUUUAGUUUGAAGACGUAAUGCACUUGUAGCAGAUCUUUAAAUAUGUGAAUGUAUAUACAGGGACUGUCAGAUGGGUAUAGAAUGCUCAUGCAUAUGAUAGAGCAAUGGGAAUGGACUCUUGCACCUAAUUGUCUCCUUCUCUAGGGUAUUGCUUUUUGUAACUAACUUUAACUUGUUUUGUUUCAGAAGGAAAAAGCUAAAAAAAUAUGGAGAUUUAAAAAGCUAAAUUGUGUCAUUUUUCCCCGUUUAGCUUGCAUGUUUCCUUUGUAUCCAAAUUGCAGUAUUUGACUUCUUCAGGCUCCCCUUUCUAGUCACUGCAAAGUUAGAAUUCUUUCUCAUUAUGGUGCAUACAGAGUUGUAACUAUCUCUUAUUUUUCUUAAUGAAUUUCUCGUGGUGUAAUCUCUAAUUUAAGACAUAUAGAUUAUUAUUAUUAUAAAACAUCGUAAUAGUUCUGUUUGCAACAUUCCAUCCAGAUGAUUGAAUCUGUUCCCUUUCCCUCUUUCUCUUGCAGGUGCUUAUUUAGAAGCUACAUAGAGAUGCAGAGGAAAUUUUGCUCAGAUGGGAAGACUUGGAAAGGGGAUGGUUUGGUGGUUAAUCGUCUUCGAGUGGUGUUGAGCAUAUGUUCCAUGUUUUUUACUUAAUUAUUUACCUUUAUGCAUUUUCUCUGGAAAUGUAAUGACAAUAAUGUUUCAAUAAAUAU
This is a long non-coding RNA of Papaver somniferum (opium poppy), 1361 nucleotides long. RefSeq lists it as uncharacterized. NCBI's taxonomy places the organism in Eukaryota, Viridiplantae, Streptophyta, Magnoliopsida, Ranunculales, Papaveraceae. The transcript is spliced from 4 exons. The record is from RefSeq and is a predicted model, not a curated record.